CCUACGGGAGGCAGCAGUAAGGAAUAUUCCGCAAUGGGCGCAAGCCUGACGGAGCAACGCCGCGUGGGGGAUGACGCUUUUCGGAGUGUAAACCCCUUUUCUCAGGGAUGAAUUCUGACAGUACCUGAGGAAGAAGGCCCGGCUAACUACGUGCCAGCAGCCGCGGUAAUACGUAGGGGUCGAGCGUUGUCCGGAGUUACUGGGCGUAAAGCGCGCGCAGGCGGCGCGGUAAGACCGGCGUGAAAGCCCCCGGCUCAACCGGGGAGGGUCGUUGGUGACUGCCGGGCUUGAAGGCAGCAGGGGUGAGUGGAAUUCCCGGUGUAGUGGUGAAAUGCGUAGAGAUCGGGAGGAACACCCGUGGCGAAGGCGGCUCACUGGGCUGACCUUGACGCUGAGGCGCGAAGGCGUGGGGAGCGAACGGGAUUAGAAACCCCGGUAGUCC
This 442-nucleotide ribosomal RNA is filed under the name uncultured bacterium. Its description in RNAcentral is "bacterial SSU rRNA". It matches the Rfam family "Bacterial small subunit ribosomal RNA", at positions 338 to 796 of the family's 1533-position model. The record is from RNAcentral.